RNAcentral lists this ribosomal RNA (512 nucleotides) under uncultured bacterium. RNAcentral describes it as "partial 16S ribosomal RNA". It matches the Rfam family "Bacterial small subunit ribosomal RNA", at positions 28 to 523 of the family's 1533-position model. The record is from RNAcentral.
GAUGAACGCUGGCGGCGUGCCUAAUACAUGCAAGUCGAGCGAAUCAAUGGGAGCUUGCUCCCUGAGAUUAGCGGCGGACGGGUGAGUAACACGUGGGUAACCUGCCUGUAAGACUGGGAUAACUUCGGGAAACCGGAGCUAAUACCGGAUACGUUCUUUUCUCGCAUGAGAAGAGAUGGAAAGAUGGUUUCGGCUAUCACUUACAGAUGGACCCGCGGCGCAUUAGCUAGUUGGUGAGGUAACGGCUCACCAAGGCGACGAUGCGUAGCCGACCUGAGAGGGGGAUCGGCCACGCUGGGACUGAGACACGGCCCAGACUCCUACGGGAGGCAGCAGUAGGGAAUCUUCCGCAAUGGACGAAAGUCUGACGGAGCAACGCCGCGUGAGCGAAGAAGGCCUUCGGGUCGUAAAGCUCUGUUGUUAGGGAAGAACAAGUACAAGAGUAACUGCUUGUACCUUGACGGUACCUAACCAGAAAGCCACGGCUAACUACGUGCCAGCAGCCGCCGUAA